This 357-nucleotide long non-coding RNA is filed under the name Rhinopithecus bieti (black snub-nosed monkey). RNAcentral's name for it is "lncRNA (ENSRBIG00000045432.1)". Lineage: Eukaryota; Metazoa; Chordata; Mammalia; Primates; Cercopithecidae. The record is from RNAcentral.
GGCAACUGUGUGCUCAUCACCCCCACCCAGUGGUGACAGGUAGACACCUGGGUAGGAACCCUGCUGCUGGGUGGCUGGUAGGAGACGCUGCAGAGAGACCCCUGCCUGGCUCUCAUCCUCCAUCAGUUGCAAGUCAGUCUAGCUCAGACCCAGACAAGUGGAAGAAGUCAACUCUUAACUAGGGUAUAAUGAAACAUGAUGGAAGUAUUUGACCCAGCAGCUCUUCUAUACCCAGGAGGCCCUGACUGCCACAUUCACCAGCUGAUUUUCCAGGCAAUUGGAAAACAGCUGAAGAAAUGCAAUGGCAGCUCUGCGCAGAGGCAGAGUUGCUUAAGAGCCAUCCUGAACUCAGGCCCG